Molecule: ribosomal RNA, 467 nt
Filed under: uncultured bacterium
Lineage: Bacteria
Description: partial 16S ribosomal RNA
Rfam family: Bacterial small subunit ribosomal RNA
Source: RNAcentral
GACGAACGCUGGCGGCGUGCUUAACACAUGCAAGUCGAACGGAAAGGCCCUGCUUUUGUGGGGUGCUCGAGUGGCGAACGGGUGAGUAACACGUGAGUAACCUGCCCUUGACUUUGGGAUAACUUCAGGAAACUGGGGCUAAUACCGGAUAGGAGCUCCUGCUGCAUGGUGGGGGUUGGAAAGUUUCGGCGGUUGGGGAUGGACUCGCGGCUUAUCAGCUUGUUGGUGGGGUAGUGGCUUACCAAGGCUUUGACGGGUAGCCGGCCUGAGAGGGUGACCGGCCAAAUUGGGAGUGGGAUACGGCCCAGGCCCCCACGGGGGGCAGGGGGGGGGAAUAUUGCACAAUGGGGGGAAGCCGGAUGCAGCAACGCCGGGGGGGGGAGGAGGGCCUUGGGGGUGAAAACCGCUUUGGCCGGUGCCGAAGGGGGGGUGACGGUAAUGGGUAAAAAAGCCCCGGCUAACUACGU